AUGUGAAAGACUUGAGAGAAAAAUUUGCUGGGAGAAGAUAUAUGUGAAGGAGGAGAAAGUCACUGGUGCUAAUCAGCAGUGGAAGUAGUUCAGUGUUCGCCGCUAGAUCGCGCCCAACUUAUGAUUGUCCUGUUCCUGGUUAGAUAGGUGUUUCAGAGUUUUUAUAUUCUAUAUUUAAAAAUAAUUCUGUCACGGGUAUUUCUCUGUUAUUUGACAGAGUGACAAGUGCCUGUUUGGAUGGUCAUAUAGUAGAUGCUAUAUUACAUUGUGACAAUAAUGUCAAAUAUAUUUGUUUUCUUGAAAAAAUUGUUUUUACAAUCCAGAAACAUAAAAUACGUUUCAGUAUUCAUUUACUCUGAAUACCCUCUGGGUUGAGUAUGUAUUCACUCUGAUCCCACUCUGAUCCCACUCUGAUCCCACUCUGGAAACAUUCUGGAAACACUUUGGUAUCAGUUUGUGUUCAAUGUGGAUGCAUAACGGUAGACACAUAUUAUUGAGGGUUUGUCAACGUCGCGGAAGCAGCUGAGAGAAAAAACAAAGAUAGAAAUACAUUAAUAAGAGAGUCGAGAUUAGAAAUGAAUUUUUCCCGUUUUAAUUUGAAUAUCGAUGUGUAAGAAGUUAGAACGCGCUGUUGCCAAAUCUUUUUAUUAAAUCAUAUGAGUCAAAAAUAACCAAGUAAUUUCAUUACUUUCAUUAAGUAAAUAAGUAAUAAAUAUCAAUUUACGAAUUCGUUAUGUUAUUAUAAAUUAAAAUAAUGAAUUUUUAUAACUAUAAGGAGAAUUUAGCAAACUAAAAAAUUCAAACACUACUUUGACUCACUAGUUUCGGUCGAACCUCCUUAAGUCAACAUAAAAAUGUUUAAUUUGUUAACACCCUGCUUAGAAAAUCCGAUAGAUUCUUAUAGGUGUAUGAAUAAAGCCGUAUACUCAACUAUAACACUUCUUACAGAACUCAUUGAUUCUUACAAAAUCUCUUUGGGUAUUUAUGAAAAUCUAUUGGAUUCUAUGAGAUUUUUUUAACAGGAUAUAAAGAUAACAUCCUGAAUCUUGUAUGUCAACAUCAAAAGUUUUCAAUUUGUUACCUUUUUGGUACCAAAGAACUAACUGCUAUUUGUCAACAAAACGUUACAAAUUGUUAUCAAAAAGUUACCAAAAUAGUGACAAAAAGUUGACAAAUUAUUACCAUAAAGUUAUUUUUUUGAAAUAUAAAAACGUUAAAUUUCUGCUGGACAUUAGUAGUGAUAUUUGUUGGAAUAAAUCUGCCUUUUUACAUCGCAAAAUAAAUAGUAACAUUUUUUUUGUUAACUUUUUCGGUACCAAAAAGCUGGCCACCUGCCCUAGUAGCAAUGGAAUUGGGCAAGAUUCUUUGGCAAGAUACUUGGAGAAGCACUUUGUAAAGAAUUGGACAAUUCUCGACCAAGACACUUGAUCAAGAUUCUUGAUUCAGACCGGCGGCAGACUUGGGCCAGUCUGUGAUCAGAAUUUGACCAGAUUCAUGACAUAGACUCGCACGAGAAACGCAAAAGACGACGAGCGCGCACCUAUUUCCCUCCUUUCCACCUGAAUGUGAAAAGUAUAGUUUUGCAGUGGUUCUCAUUUAUAGUCUAGUCAACAAGUUUAAAAAUGUUAUUUUUUUACAAUUACGCAUUCAGUUUGUAGUAAUGCCUAGACAAAUAGGUUUCCAGAAUUUUCUAGCACUUAAAAAAUUUCGGAAGUUUUUUAAUAGAUUAAGAUGAAUAAUUAAAAUUAUAAAUCAUGGGAAUAGAAUUCCGGAAGUUGUGACAAUUUUAUAGAAAAUUGCUUCUUCUUUAAUAAUCGUUUUUUAAUUUUACGCUUCCUUUAUUAAUUUUUGAGUUAUUGCUAAUUAUCAGAGUCUCUCGUUUUCUCUAUUUGAUUUUGACUAAAAUUGCUAUUUUUAUUCGUAAAAAAAAUGUAUUGACGACUUUGAUGAAGGAUUCAAUAAGCUGUCACUCGUAUUUGUGAAAAAAACUAGAUUCAUUUUUUACAGAGGACUCACUUCUCGACUACAGUAUUGUAAAUGAAACUAAUAUAGAAUGAGAACCUCUACUCUCUAGGAUAGUCCCAAAGUUUAGCAAUAGAUGGCUCCAGAUUUCUGGUCAAAUUCUUGACAAAUUCUGAGAUAGUAUACUAAGCUAUUGUAACGAACCUUAAGUCAAAACAGAAAAGUGUUUUUAAAAUAUAGUACUGUUAUUUAACGUUUAAGCA
Molecule: long non-coding RNA, 2225 nt
Organism: Microplitis mediator
Lineage: Eukaryota; Metazoa; Arthropoda; Insecta; Hymenoptera; Braconidae
Exons: 3
Source: RefSeq, a predicted model, not a curated record